This 560-nucleotide transfer RNA is filed under the name Pseudanabaena sp. HA4201-MV2. Its description in RNAcentral is "16S-23S ribosomal RNA intergenic spacer". The stretch from base 302 to 374 matches the Rfam family "tRNA". Lineage: Bacteria; Bacillati; Cyanobacteriota; Cyanophyceae; Pseudanabaenales; Pseudanabaenaceae. The record is from RNAcentral.
UAUAGGGAGACCUAUUUACUCUUAGACUGAAGCAAUACAGAAUUAGGUCAGGAGUAAGUCAUCCCAAGGUCGAACGAAGUUUAUUGGAAAGCUUUCAGACUAAGUCAGGUUCUAAAUUUGGCUAACAAAAAGGGCCAUUAGCUCAGUUGGUUAGAGCGCACCCCUGAUAAGGGUGAGGUCACUGGUUCGUGUCCAGUAUGGCCCACUUGAGUACAAGGAAAAAGGGAAAAGGAAAAAGGAAAAACUUAAUUAAGAGUCUUCACUUUUUACUUUUUACUUCUGACUUUUUACUUGACAAUCUGGGGAUAUAGCUCAGUUGGUAGAGCGCCUGCUUUGCACGCAGGAAGUCAGGAGUUCGAAUCUCCUUAUCUCCACCAAACUACUAACGAUAGACCAACAAAAGCGAAAGCAAGAGUUUAGCAACUCAUCUAGUCAGGUAAGCACCGGAAACUAGAGAGACUGCUAAAUUCUAGCGAGAGCAAGAAUUUAGAAAGAACCUUGAAAACUGCAUAGUAAAAAAGUAACGAAAGAAGCAAGUAGAACCGAAGUAGAGAUACAGA